This 415-nucleotide ribosomal RNA is filed under the name uncultured bacterium. RNAcentral's name for it is "bacterial SSU rRNA". It matches the Rfam family "Bacterial small subunit ribosomal RNA", at positions 585 to 1002 of the family's 1533-position model. The record is from RNAcentral.
AAGUGUGUUGUGAAAUGUAGACGCUCAACGUCUGACUUGCAGCGCAUACUGGUUUCCUUGAGUACGCACAACGUUGGCGGAAUUCGUCGUGUAGCGGUGAAAUGCUUAGAUAUGACGAAGAACUCCGAUUGCGAAGGCAGCUGACGGGAGCGCAACUGACGCUGAAGCUCGAAGGUGCGGGUAUCGAACAGGAUUAGAUACCCUGGUAGUCCGCACAGUAAACGAUGGAUGCCCGCUGUUGGUACCUGGUAUCAGCGGCUAAGCGAAAGCAUUAAGCAUCCCACCUGGGGAGUACGCCGGCAACGGUGAAACUCAAAGGAAUUGACGGGGGCCCGCACAAGCGGAGGAACAUGUGGUUUAAUUCGAUGAUACGCGAGGAACCUUACCCGGGCUUGAAUUGCAGACGAACGAUUCA